GUAGUAUUCCCUCCGUCCCAAAAUUCUUGUCUUACAUUUGUUUAGAUACGGAUGUAUCUAACACUAAAAUGUAAGUAGACACAUCCGUAUUUAGACAAAUUUAAGACAAGAAUUUUGGACGGAGGGAGUACAAA
Non-coding RNA from Triticum aestivum (bread wheat), 134 nucleotides. The record is from Rfam. NCBI's taxonomy places the organism in Eukaryota, Viridiplantae, Streptophyta, Magnoliopsida, Poales, Poaceae.